UUCGGUCUCCUUUGAUAUAUCCUCCAUUUAAUUGAGUUAUACAAGCAACAUUUUCUUCAUACAAUAUUGUUGGAGCCUUUGUUUGCACAGAAAGACCGCAUAAUUGCAAAAUGUGUUGAGUCAUUGAUCUCAACCAUACACACUCUCGACUUGCUCCAUGAAUGACUAUUAUCUCUGCAUGAUUUGAAGAAGUAGCAACUAUUGUUUGCUUCAUCGAACGUCAUGAUAUAGUUGUAUUUUCAUAUGUGAAUAGCCUGU
Molecule: long non-coding RNA, 258 nt
Filed under: Solanum tuberosum (potato)
Lineage: Eukaryota; Viridiplantae; Streptophyta; Magnoliopsida; Solanales; Solanaceae
Description: long non-coding RNA (STUB_LNC004530)
Source: RNAcentral